This 7199-nucleotide long non-coding RNA is filed under the name Manihot esculenta (cassava). RNAcentral describes it as "long non-coding RNA (MESC_LNC002202)". Lineage: Eukaryota; Viridiplantae; Streptophyta; Magnoliopsida; Malpighiales; Euphorbiaceae. The record is from RNAcentral.
AAAACUUUGCAAGAUUUGAAGAAAACAUGAAAAUCACCCAAGGAAGAUCAUGGUCUCACCUCUGGCUGUGAAUGGAAAGAAAAUCUUAUCCAUUCACCGACCUAGGGCCUUUUAUAGGUGGCUGGCCAGACCACCUUCGGCGGCCUAACGUGAAACCAAAACUCAUGCAUGUUUGGUGGCCGAACUUCACCUUCGGCGGCCGAACCUUGCAUUUCUUGCUUGGCUCUUUUCUUUCAAAAACUCAGUUCCUUUUGUACUUAAAACAUUAAAACAUACUAAAAUCCUUUACAAAACCAUAAAUCUUACCCUUUUAGAGGAUUCCGACAUCCUGGAUUACACCGGAAAGUAGAAUGCCGAUGCCAGACUCUAGCCGGGUAUUACAUUCUCCCCCCCUUAAGAACAUUUGUCCCCGAAUGUUCCACAAACAAGGAAACACAUAAAAAGGAGGAAACUAACCUUAAAACAGAUAUGGAUAUUGCUGAAGCAUAGACUCCCGUGUCUUCCAGGUGCACUCUUCUAGAUUGUGGUGGUUCCAUAGGACUUUCACCAUUGGAAUUUUCUUGUCCCUCAGCUUUCUGAUCUGAGUGUCUAGGAUCCGUACUGGCUGCUCUAUAUAGGUGAGAUCUCCAAGGAUCUCUACGUCAGGCUCACUAAGAACCUUACUCGGAUAUGACACGAACUUUCGGAGCAUAGAAACAUGGAAAACCGGGUGAAUUCUCUCUAUAGAAGCAGGUAAAUCCAGCUUGUACGACACAUUUCCGAUCUUCUGCAAGAUCUCAAAGGGUCCAAUGUAUCGUGGGGCUAGCUUACCCUUUUUUCCAAAUCGAACCACUCCUUUCAUUGGAGACACCUUUAGCAAUACCAUAUCACCCUCCUGAAACUCUAACUGCUUCUUGCGGAUAUCUGCAUAGCUUUUCUGCCUGCUCUGAGCAGUCCUGAUUCUCUCUCUGAUCAUGGGCACCACUCUGCUGGUGAUCUCAACCAACUCCGGCCCUGCAAGAGCCACCUCUCCUACUUCUUCCCAGCAAACAGGUGAUCUGCACUUCCUUCCAUACAAAGCUUCAUAAGGGGCCAUCCCUAUGCUAGCAUGAUGGCUGUUAUUGUAGGCAAACUCCACCAAAGGUAGAUGUUGCCUCUAAGAACCGCCAAAGUCUAACACACACAUUCGAAGCAUAUCUUCUAUGGUCUGGAUGGUCCUCUCUGACUGUCCAUCAGUCUGUGGAUGGAAAGCAGUGCUGAAAUCCAACCUUGUACCCAUAGCACUCUGCAGACUCCGCCAAAAUCUGGAGGUGAACUGAGGUCCUCUGUCUGACACUAUAGACACUGGGACUCCAUGCAACCUUACUAUCUCCUCCAAAUAAACCUGUGCUAACUUGUCCACAGAAUAAGUACUCCUCACAGGGAUGAAAUGAGCAGAUUUCGUGAGUCUGUCCACAAUCACCCAUAUGGAGUCUAGUCUGUUGGACGCUGCCGGUAAGCCCACUACAAAAUCCAUAGCUAUGUUCUCCCAUUUCCACUCUGGAAUCGGCAGUGGGUUAAGCAUUUCAGCCGGCUUCUGAUGUUCCAGUUUCACCCUCUGGCAAACCUCACAGGCGGACACAAACUGUGCCACUUCUUUCUUCAUAGCUGGCCACCAAUACACUCUUUUCAGAUCCUGAUACAUCUUGGUGGCUCCAGGGUGAACAUUGUAUCUUGCAUUAUGAGCUUCCCUCAUAAUGUCUCCUUUUAGGCUAAUGUCAUCUGGUACACAAAGUCGAUGCCCAAAGCGGAGGAUCCCUUUGCUGUCAAUCGGAACUCUGCACUGUUGCAUGACUGAACAGUCCUGGCAAUUUUCACUAACUCAGGGUCCUCAUGCUGUUUCUGAACCAUCUGCUCCAGAAACACUGGGGUCACUCUCAUCUGUGCUAUCAAGGCACCUGUACCAGACAACUCUAGCUGUAGCCCUUCGUCGAUAAGCUUAUAAAACUCCAUCACCACUGGUCUUCUCUCUGCUGCUAUGUGGGACAAACUGCCAAGUGAUUUCUGGCUUAGGGCGUCUGCCACAACAUUCGCCUUACCUGGAUGAUACUGGAUUCUGCAAUCAUAGUCACUGAGCACUUCUACCCACCUUCUCUGCCUCAAAUUCAGCUCUUUCUGACUCAAGAUGUACUGUAAACUCUUGUAAUCUGUGAAGAUCUCGCAUUUAACCCCAUAAAGGUAAUGCCUCCACAUCUUGAGUGCAAAGAUAAUUGCUGCCAUUUCUAGGUCAUGGGUGGGGUAAUUCAACUCGUGCUUCUUCAGCUGUCUAGAAGCAUAAGUAAUCACCCUGUCAUUCUGCAUCAGAACACAACCCAAUCCUACUCUGGACGCAUCACAGAACACUGUGAAGUCCUCAUUACUGAUAGGCAGAGCUAAUACCGGUGCUGAUGUUAAUCUUCUCUUUAACUCGCUAAAGCUCACUUCACAUUGGUCCGACCACACGAACCUCUGGUUUUUCUGUGUCAAUUUGGUCAUAGGAGCAGCUAUUUUUUAGAAGUCCUAUACGAACCUCCUGUAGUACCCUGCCAAACCCAGAAAGCUUUUAAUCUCAGUCACUGAGGUGGGUCUAGGCCAGUUAGCUACAGCUUCUAUCUUCUUGGGGUCUACCUCAAUACCUUCUGCUGAUACAACAUGCCCCAAGAAGGAAAUGCUCCUCAACCAAAACUCACUCUUAGAGAACUUGGCAUAUAAACCAUGCUCUCUCAGAGUCUGCAGAAUUGUCCUCAGAUGCUGGGCAUGCUCCUCUGCAUCUCUGGAGUACACUAAGAUAUCAUCGAUGAAGACAAUAACAAAGUGAUCCAGAUACUCGCUGAAAACUCUAUUUAUGACAUCCAUGAAUGCUGCAGGGGCGUUCGUCAACCCGAACGGCAUUACUAAGAACUCAUAAUGCCCAUAUCUGGUCCUGAAAGCUGUCUUUGGCACAUCUGCUUCUCUGACUCUCAACUGAUGAUACCCGGAUCUCAGAUCUAUUUUAGAGAAACACCCUGCUCCAGCUAGCUGGUCAAAUAGAUCGUCGAUCCUAGGCAGGGGAUAUUUAUUCUUGGUAGUGACCUUGUUCAACUACCUGUAGUCGAUACAAAGUUGGAGGGAUCCAUCCUUCUUUCUGACAAACAACACUGGAGCACCCCAAGGUGAGGUACUAGGGCGGAUGAAACCCUUAUCUACCAACUCUUGUAGCUGCUCUUUCAGCUCUUUUAACUCUGCUGGCGCCAUCUUGUAGGGAGGAAUAGAGAUAGGUCUGGUACCAGGCAGUAAUUCUAUUGCAAACUCUAUCUUCCUAUCAGGUGGUAGUCCUGGAAGCUCGUCUGGGAAGACGUCUGGAAACUCUCGGACUACUGGAACUGAGGCUGGUUCCCUAACCGGACUAUCUAGCUCUCUCACAUGAGUUAGAAACCCUUGACAACCCCUCCUAAGCAAACGACGAGCCUGAAGGGCUGAGAUCAAACCUCUAGGUGUCCCCCUCCUGUCUCCUCUGAAGACACACUCUGACCCAUCCUGGUCUCUAAGACUGACUACCUUGUCUCUGCAGUCCAAGGUAGCUCCAUAUGUAGAUAACCAAUCCAUCCCUAGAAUGACAUCAAAAUCUGUCAAAUCUAGAACCACUAGGUCAGCUGGAAGGCAUCUACCCUCUAUGAACACUGGACUGAAGCGACAGACUGACACUGCCACUGAUGGGUCACAUUUGGGUCCACUGACCCAGAGAGGACACUCUAACUCAGAAAUCAUCAGACCCAAUCUCUCAAUGGCUCUCGAAGCAAUAAAAGAGUGAGAAGCACCAGGGUCCAUCAAAGCAUACACAUCAGAACACCCAAUGAUGAGAUUACCUGACACCACUGUGUUCGACGUGUUCGCCUCCUCUUGUGUCACAGUGAAGAUCCGUGCUGGGGCUACCGGACCUUCACCUCGGGAACCUGCCGCUGAAGAAGAGGCUGACCCUCUCCCUCUGCCUCUGCCACUACUUUGAGGUAAGGCUGGAGCUGCUGGCUGUGCUACACUGCCUGAACUCAUCUGUUGGGAUGGUGCGAUAAAGGUCGCCUGAGGACAUUCCCAUGAAAAAUGUCCCUCCUGUCCACACUUAUAACAGGCUGAAGAUCCCAACCGACAAACUCCUCUGUGCUGUCUCCCACAUCUCAUGCACAUUAUACUGCCUGUGCCAGAGCUUGAGCCACUACCCAUUCCCAGACUCGACUUAAUCUUGUUCCAGAACUUGCCUUUCUUAGCUUUAAACUUUUCUCCCUUCCUGUUGCCAGAAGCUGCUGCACUGGGGGUCUUAGAACUCGAAGACUGUGCCAUUUGCUGCUUAACUGUUCCCUGAAUAAUGGCACUCGCCGCCAUCUCAAUGGCUCUACUAUCAUCAGCUCCUAAUUCAUCGGUUAUCAUCUUAACCGUUCUGAGGUACUCAAAUGGAUCAUCUCCUGUAUUGAAUUUGGGAGCAUCCAACUUCAGGUACUCUGUCAUUUUCACUUUGCUUCCCUCAGCUGAGCUAGGUUGCGAUGCUUGGACAACUGGGGCUACUGGUUCUAGUUCUGGUGCAAAAGGUGCUGAACUUGGCUCCGGGUAUGCUGAACUGGGAUGGAAAGGUGUGGGUGGAUACAUGGGAUAUGGUGGGUAAAAAGGAGUAUAAGGCAUGUAAGGCAUGUAGGUAGGAUAUGGGGUAAAGCUAGAGUAAUCCGACGUACCUCCCAUCGGAUACCCUGGGCCCUAUGGAAAGGGUGGAUAAUGGGGUGGAUAACUAAACCCCGAGGCCUGAGCGCCUCCCUGAGACUCUCCCAUACCCUCUUCAGACCUGCCCAUACCCAUGCUUUCCUCUCUUGGCUGAUCCACAUCCAUAGCCUCCCUCACUUCCUCUGACCUUCCUCCUCUAUCUGUUCCUCUUCUGCUCUCGUCAACAGACCUUCUAGGGUCCCUUGACGUACCCUCCCUGCUUGAACUCUGAGACCUUGCCCUUGGCAACGCAGGAGGACGAGCAUCUGAACCCUCAUUCACUGGUGGGACUCCAGUCAAUCGUGCAGAUCGACGAGUUCCUCUCAUCUUAACUUUCUGGAAAACAAUCCAUAACAGCACACAUCAUCAUAUAAACAUCACAUAACAACAAUGCACAUGUAUAACUCAUGGCAUUUCAUCUCAGCAAAUAGACAAGACUCAACAUCCUAUCCUAAUGGACAUGCUUUCCUAUUGUGCUUGACCUACUAUAACCUCUAUGAGCUCGACACUCUCUAUCUAGGUCCGACCAUAUGAACCUAGAGCUCUGAUACCAAUCUGUAACGACCCGAAAAUCGGACCGCUACCGGCGCUAGGAUCCAGGUCGACUUAAGGUCACCGGAACCCGUAGCAAGCCUGCUAUACUCUCUGUGUACCUGUCAAAUCCCAUACAUGAUCAUACAUUUUCUGUAAAAACAUAAAACUGAUGCUCUGAACCAAGGCUCAACUUGUGCAUGCACUAUCUCUGUACUAUAAAAACCCUUACUAGAGCUUGCUCUAGACGGGUUCAACUCAUACUCUGUUAAGCCUGGUUUUUCACAUACUGAUAACAACAUUCACAGCACAUAAAUAGACCAUGUAUACAAAAAGGAUUUACAACAUGGGUCAAGCACAAUACUCUACACUAUACAAUACGAAACCAUUCCUUUACAAUAGUACAUGUCUACUCUAGGCUAUUACAAAACUUCUUUACUAUUCCUGUACCCUGCUGACUUCCCUCUGACUCUGAUCCUGCACGACUGGGGUUAAAGGAGAGGGAUGAGCUAUACUAGCCCAGUGAGUAGAUCAGAUAAAACAUGUUAAUAAAACAUGCUCACAUGGAAUGCAUCACAUCACAAGUAAAUCACCCAUCUCAGACGGACAGAUUCAAAAUUCCCUCUGUUCUGUGCCCGGCCCGCAAGGAGCUACUCAGGACUUCUCUACGCACCCUAUGGUGCUCUGUGCCCGGCCCUCUCAGGGCUCCUCAGGACUUUACUCGGAGGGCUAGUGAAUCCAAAACUAUGUCCGAUCCGUACAAGCAUAGAUAAUGCAAUGCGUCACCUUAGUGUAGUCUAAUGCACUCAUCCUAUUACAUAUCAUGAUGCAUGGAAACAUGCUCAAAGCAGUUAAUUUCUCAAUUUAAAACAUUAAGUUUAGUUCCACUCACCUCUGGCUGACUCUGAGCUGACUCUGGAAACUCUGAAGCAGUGCUCACUGCUGACCUCUUUGGUUCCUCUGGUCCGUUCCUACACAGAUGGACUCAAAUGAGGGACCAAACUAACUCAAGAACAACUCUAGACUACUCCCCAAAACCCCCCUAAAAUAUCCUAAAAGAAUCAAGAAAAACAUGCAGGUUCGGCGGUCGAAAGUCUCUUCCAGAGCCGAACCUCAAGCACUUUCGGCGGCACUUCGGCUGCCGAAAGUCCUCUCCAGAGACGAAAGUCCCUAACCUUCGGCGGCACCUUCGGCGGCCGAAACCCUUCCCCAGAGCCGAAAGUCCAAACUUUCAGGGGCAAGCUUGGGCAAGCUUAGGCAGCCGAAACCACCUCCUUAGCAUGUUCGGUGGCCGAACCUUCUUUCGGCGGCCGAAACUGGAUUCUCCAGUAAGGCAGAAAUGUGUUUUGCUUCAUGCAAACCAACCCAAUCUCCACUCAAACAUGCAAACCACAAUUCCACAACCUGCAUAUACUCAAGUAUAGGCACAAAGGGGUCCAAAACUAACUUAAAACCCCAACAAACAACACAACUACACACAUAAGCAUGCUUUGACCACAAAUCAACCAAAACCUCAACUUACUCUCAAUAUGCAUCUCUACCCAACAACUUCAUAAAACCUUCAUAAAACAUGAAAAGAAGUUCAGGAUCUUCACUUACCUCUUACAAACAAGAAGAUAAACGAUCCCAACGUGGAGAUAUGGAGAAACUCUCCCUCAAAGUCUCCAACUUCAAAACUUUUGGUUGAUUUGCUCAAAAGCUUCAAAACAACAUAAAACCCAUCAAAACUUUGCAAGAUUUGAAGAAAACAUGAAAUCAUGGUCUCACCUCUGGCUGUGAAUGGAAAGAAAAUCUUAUCCAUUCACCGACCUAGGGCCUUUUAUAGGUGGCUGGCCAGACCACCUUCGGCGGCCUAACGUGAAACCAAAACUCAUGCAUGUUCGGCGGCCGAACUUCACCUUCGGCGGCCGAACCUUGCAUUUCUUCCUUGGCUCUUUUCUUUCAAA